Molecule: long non-coding RNA, 107 nt
Organism: Chrysoperla carnea
Lineage: Eukaryota; Metazoa; Arthropoda; Insecta; Neuroptera; Chrysopidae
Exons: 3
Source: RefSeq, a predicted model, not a curated record
ACGAAGGAUCCCGCAUAUUACAAACAAAUAUUCAACAUUCAACCAAUACAUUUGUCAAAUUUUCAAGCGUGCUGCAAAUCUGCCUAAACAACAACGGUCGGAAAAGG